UACGUAGGGUGCAAGCGUUGUCCGGAAUUAUUGGGCGUAAAGAGCUCGUAGGCGGCUUGUCACGUCGACUGUGAAAACCCGAGGCUCAACCUCGGGCCUGCAGUCGAUACGGGCAGGCUAGAGUUCGGUAGGGGAGACUGGAAUUCCUGGUGUAGCGGUGAAAUGCGCAGAUAUCAGGAGGAACACCAGUGGCGAAGGCGGUGCUCUGGGGCCGGUACUGACGCUGAGGAGCGAAAGCGUGGGUAGCAAACAGG
Molecule: ribosomal RNA, 254 nt
Filed under: uncultured bacterium
Lineage: Bacteria
Description: partial 16S ribosomal RNA
Rfam family: Bacterial small subunit ribosomal RNA
Source: RNAcentral